RNAcentral lists this ribosomal RNA (490 nucleotides) under uncultured bacterium. RNAcentral's name for it is "partial 16S ribosomal RNA". It matches the Rfam family "Bacterial small subunit ribosomal RNA", at positions 29 to 507 of the family's 1533-position model. The record is from RNAcentral.
AGUGAACGCUGGCGGUAGGCCUAACACAUGCAAGUCGAACGGCAGCACAGGAGAGCUUGCUCUCUGGGUGGCGAGUGCCGGACGGGUGAGGAAUACAUCGGAAUCUGCCCAGUCGUGGGGGAUAACGUAGGGAAACUUACGCUAAUACCGCAUACGACCUUCGGGUGAAAGAGGGGGAUCGCAAGACCUCUCGCGAUUGGAUGAGCCGAUGUCGGAUCAGCUAGUUGGCGGGGUAAUGGCCCACCAAGGCGACGAUCCGUAGCUGGUCUGAGAGGAUGAUCAGCCACACUGGAACUGAGACACGGUCCAGACUCCUACGGGAGGCAGCAGUGGGGAAUAUUGGACAAUGGGCGCAAGCCUGAUCCAGCCAUACCGCGUGGGUGAAGAAGGCCUUCGGGUUGUAAAGCCCUUUUGUUGGGAAAGAAAUCUUUCAGGCUAAUACCCUGGGAGGAUGACGGUACCCAAAGAAUAAGCACCGGCUAACUUCGUG